GGGAAAAGGCAUGCGGACAAAGAGGCAACCGUGUCUGGAACCUUUCACUCGUCCAAGUGUCACGUCUGUCACAAUCUGGCCAUUAACCACCGACGCACCACGCCCUCCUCCAGUCCCCGCCCCCUGAAUGUUAUAUGUAUAUACCGCCAGGUAUCGGGCGGUAUCAAUAUCGUGGCACGUAAGUACGUGAGCGGGCGCACGAACCUUCUUGAUUUAUCUCCGCGUGUUGCAACAACUGUGUGGAUGCAACCGAGGAAAGCACUCAGCACCCAUUUCACUCAAGGCUCUCUCUUCCGCUCUCUCUGGGGGAGAGAGUUUUGCAAUUUCACUCAAGGCCAAGGGCUCUCUCCUGCUCUCGCUCUCUCUCUCUCUCUCUAUAACCGUCUGGCUCUCUGAUGGCAGCAGCUGCUCCUGUUUUGCAACUUCCUUUUUGGUUUGUUUCCUUAAAAGAACGGAAAAGAGUGGGGAAGAGGGAAACGAGAAAGAUAGCGGGGAAGGGAGGGUGGCUAACAGAGGGGGUUGCAGCUUCCUUUUAUGUCUGGCUGGAAAAUGCACAGAAAAAAAUGCAAGGACCAAAGAGAGAUCGAAAAUCGCAAAAUCGGCGAUCAAAACGAGUCCGUGUGGAAAAUACUGGAAAACAAAAGCCAGAUCGACAAUCUCGGGACCCCAAAACAUCCCUAAAGAUCUAUAUUUAGUCCAGAGACUAGGCAUCUGUUCUUGAAAAUGAAAAUAAAAAUUAAAAUAAAAGAAAACUCAAA
Drosophila ananassae is the source of this 758-nucleotide long non-coding RNA. RefSeq lists it as uncharacterized. Lineage: Eukaryota; Metazoa; Arthropoda; Insecta; Diptera; Drosophilidae. The record is from RefSeq and is a predicted model, not a curated record. The transcript has 2 exons.